This 611-nucleotide ribosomal RNA is filed under the name Salmonella enterica. Its description in RNAcentral is "partial 23S ribosomal RNA". It matches the Rfam family "Bacterial large subunit ribosomal RNA", at positions 329 to 844 of the family's 2925-position model. Lineage: Bacteria; Pseudomonadati; Pseudomonadota; Gammaproteobacteria; Enterobacterales; Enterobacteriaceae. The record is from RNAcentral.
UUAGUGGAAGCGUCUGGAAAGGCGCGCGAUACAGGGUGACAGCCCCGUACACAAAAGCGCAUGUGCUGUGAGCUCGAUGAGUAGGGCGGGACACGUGGUAUCCUGUCUGAAUAUGGGGGGACCAUCCUCCAAGGCUAAAUACUCCUGACUGACCGAUAGUGAACCAGUACCGUGAGGGAAAGGCGAAAAGAACCCCGGCGAGGGGAGUGAAAAAGAACCUGAAACCGUGUACGUACAAGCAGUGGGAGCCCCACCACUAAGCCAGUGGUGAACUCCACAUACGCAUCCUUUGCUGAGGAUACGGUUAACGGAGCGAAAGCGACGUUCAACCUCAAAAGAAGCAGAGGGGGCUUAGUGGUGGGGUGACUGCGUACCUUUUGUAUAAUGGGUCAGCGACUUAUAUUCUGUAGCAAGGUUAACCGAAUAGGGGAGCCGGAGGGAAACCGAGUCUUAAUUGGGCGUUAAGUUGCAGGGUAUAGACCCGAAACCCGGUGAUCUAGCCAUGGGCAGGUUGAAGGUUGGGUAACACUAACUGGAGGACCGAACCGACUAAUGUUGAAAAAUUAGCGGAUGACCUGUGGCUGGGGGUGAAAGGCCAAUCAAACCGGGAG